AAAAAGAUAAGCUAAUAUAAGCUAAUGGGUUCAUACCCCAUUUAUAGAGGUUGCAAUCCUCUUCUUUUUA
RNAcentral lists this transfer RNA (70 nucleotides) under Rhaphidophora quadrispina. RNAcentral's name for it is "tRNA-Met". It matches the Rfam family "tRNA". Rfam says of the family: Transfer RNA (tRNA) molecules are approximately 80 nucleotides in length. Their secondary structure includes four short double-helical elements and three loops (D, anti-codon, and T loops). The record is from RNAcentral. Lineage: Eukaryota; Metazoa; Arthropoda; Insecta; Orthoptera; Rhaphidophoridae.